This 454-nucleotide ribosomal RNA is filed under the name uncultured bacterium. Its description in RNAcentral is "partial 16S ribosomal RNA". It matches the Rfam family "Bacterial small subunit ribosomal RNA", at positions 28 to 507 of the family's 1533-position model. The record is from RNAcentral.
GAUGAACGCUGACAGAAUGCUUAACACAUGCAAGUCCACUUGAACUUCGGUUUGGGUGGCGGACGGGUGAGUAACGCGUAAAGAACUUGCCUCACAGUUAGGGACAACAUUUGGAAACGAAUGCUAAUACCUGAUAUUAUGAUUUUAGGGCAUCCUAGAAUUAUGACAGCUAUAUGCGCUGUGAGAGAGCUUUGCGUCCCAUUAGCUAGUUGGAGAGGUAACGGCUCACCAAGGCGAUGAUGGGUAGCCGGCCUGAGAGGGUGAACGGCCACAAGGGGACGGAGACACGGCCCUUACUCCUACGGGAGGCAGCAGUGGGGAAUAUUGGACAAUGGACCAAGAGUCUGAUCCAGCAAUUCUGUGUGCACGAUGAAGUUUUUCGGAAUGUAAAGUGCUUUCAGUUGGGAAGAAAAAAAUGACGAUACCAACAGAAGAAGUGACGGCUAAAUACGUG